UUCUGGAGCCUCAAGUUCCUUUCAUGAUAGAAUUUGCACAAGACAUCCCUACAUAGGAAAGCGAUAGCCUAGACUGUGGGUUAUAUGUUACUGCAUUUGCCGAGUAUAUCAGUGACUAAAUCAAUAUAUCUUAUGCUGAUUUUAAUCCUGAUUACCUGCGUCAAAGAUAUGGAGCAUUGCUUUGGAGUUAUGGAAGUGAGAAGGCUAAGUGCGGAUAUGUUAGCGACAAUGAUGAUCCACCAAAAUCCAGGGGCGUAGUCACACCACCACCAGAAGAAGAUUUAGUUCACAUAGCGUAGCAUUUCAUGAUAAAACAAUGUUUUAAUGUUAUAUUUAUUAUUUUUAUAUGUUAUUGAACAACUAUUUUUAUCCUUUUUAAUGUUAUUUUUUUGGUUUUGUCAA
Non-coding RNA from Solanum lycopersicum (tomato), 402 nucleotides. Lineage: Eukaryota; Viridiplantae; Streptophyta; Magnoliopsida; Solanales; Solanaceae. The record is from RefSeq and is a predicted model, not a curated record.